Molecule: ribosomal RNA, 453 nt
Filed under: Staphylococcus aureus
Lineage: Bacteria; Bacillati; Bacillota; Bacilli; Caryophanales; Staphylococcaceae
Description: bacterial SSU rRNA
Rfam family: Bacterial small subunit ribosomal RNA
Source: RNAcentral
UUUAUGGAGAGUUUGAUCCUGGCUCAGGAUGAACGCUGGCGGCGUGCCUAAUACAUGCAAGUCGAGCGAACGGACGAGAAGCUUGCUUCUCUGAUGUUAGCGGCGGACGGGUGAGUAACACGUGGAUAACCUACCUAUAAGACUGGGAUAACUUCGGGAAACCGGAGCUAAUACCGGAUAAUAUUUUGAACCGCAUGGUUCAAAAGUGAAAGACGGUCUUGCUGUCACUUAUAGAUGGAUCCGCGCUGCAUUAGCUAGUUGGUAAGGUAACGGCUUACCAAGGCAACGAUGCAUAGCCGACCUGAGAGGGUGAUCGGCCACACUGGAACUGAGACACGGUCCAGACUCCUACGGGAGGCAGCAGUAGGGAAUCUUCCGCAAUGGGCGAAAGCCUGACGGAGCAACGCCGCGUGAGUGAUGAAGGUCUUCGGAUCGUAAAACUCUGUUAUUAGG